GCUGUCUCAAAAAACAAAACAAAACAAAACAAAAACCCGUUGAACUCUGUUAGGUAGAGCUUUGAUGGAGGCAGCCACUGGUUAGCACUUUUUGUGGACUCCAAUCAGAGGAAUGGAAAUGAGUUUUCUCUGUCCCACUGAAAAGACAACAGUGACAAAGCUGAUAUGCACUUGAGAUUAGGGAAUCUGCUGUCUCAGAGAUACCACUGGCGACUUCCUCCCAGUGUCAAUGUGACUUAAUUGUCUUGUUCUGCUUCGCCGGCCAUUCUCCUGACUCAGUGUGAUGGCAUUCUUAAUUGUGACUGGGCAAGGGGACCUGGUCAAGCAGCAGUCUGAAUCCCACAGACGAUGCCCUGGACUGUGGUUGGGGCUGUGGGACUUCGAAGGAGGGCUCUCCUGUCUGCCACCAUCCUGGGUUGACAAUUCUACACAAGGAGGUCCAUGAAAGACCUCCUCCUCCUUCUCCACCUCCCUCUACAAUAUAUGAGUAUUUUCUCCACCUCCCUCUACAAUAUUUUUUACAGAGUCAAGAGGAUCCUAUGAAUUUCCCACUGGGUUAAAAAUAUGACACAAUCCAAGGAGACAGCAUACCCAGUAGUGCCGUGUAGACUGUCGUAAACACCGUUUCACCAGGCUGCACAGAUGAUGCUGCUCUUCCCUUCACCUCCCAUCCUGUCGAAAAGGUUUUGUUAUUUUGUGCUCAUUUCAGAAGCUGAUGUGUAAAUGGUGUGUAUUUCUGUUGCCAUGACAACCCAGCAGCAAUUGGCCUGGGCUUCUUACCAGAGUACAAAUGUGCUCUUGACACGAUGCUUAUCAGACUUUGCCAGACAAUUUUCCCUCCUGGAUUCACACAAAAGGUUUCGAAGACUCCUAACUGCAUUUAGAGGAGAGACAGGCUGAAAUUUCGCACUUGGCUCACAUGAAUGAUGAAGCUCUAAAGCUCUGAUCCCCUGCUGAAGUCAUCGUGUUCUAGUCUAUCAUUUCAGUACUCUGGGGGCAACUCUGUAUAAUUAAAGAGGACCAAGUAUAAAUGUGGCAAAAAAAUCUUGCUGGCUACCAGAACUGGGCUUUUGUUGAUGUUUCAUGUGACACAUAACUGUCUCUGCAUUUAAUAAAAGGUCACUGUGA
This 1128-nucleotide long non-coding RNA is filed under the name Homo sapiens (human). Its description in RNAcentral is "HSALNT0333273". The record is from RNAcentral. Lineage: Eukaryota; Metazoa; Chordata; Mammalia; Primates; Hominidae.